GAUGAACGCUGGCGGCGUGCCUAAUACAUGCAAGUCGAGCGAACGGACGAGAAGCUUGCUUCUCUGAUGUUUGCGGCGGACGGGUGAGUAACACGUGGAUAACCUACCUAUAAGACUGGGAUAACUUCGGGAAACCGGAGCUAAUACCGGAUGAUAUUUUGAACCGCAUGGUUCAAAAGUGAAAGACGGUCUUGCUGUCACUUAUAGAUGGAUCCGCGCUGCAUUAGCUAGUUGGUAAGGUAACGGCUUACCAAGGCAACGAUGCAUAGCCGACCUGAGAGGGUGAUCGGCCACACUGGAACUGAGGCACGGUCCAGACUCCUACGGGAGGCAGCAGUAGGGAAUCUUCCGCAAUGGGCGAAAGCCUGACGGAGCAACGCCGCGUGAGUGAUGAAGGUCUUCGGAUCGUAAAACUCUGUUAUUAGGGAAGAACAUAUGUGUAAGUAACUGUGCACAUCUUGACGGUACCUAAUCAGAAAGCCACGGCUAACUACGUG
RNAcentral lists this ribosomal RNA (497 nucleotides) under uncultured bacterium. Its description in RNAcentral is "partial 16S ribosomal RNA". It matches the Rfam family "Bacterial small subunit ribosomal RNA", at positions 28 to 507 of the family's 1533-position model. The record is from RNAcentral.